Xenia sp. Carnegie-2017 is the source of this 212-nucleotide long non-coding RNA. RefSeq lists it as uncharacterized. The transcript has 3 exons. The record is from RefSeq and is a predicted model, not a curated record. Lineage: Eukaryota; Metazoa; Cnidaria; Anthozoa; Malacalcyonacea; Xeniidae.
CACGAAUGCUUUGCUAUAUAUUACCGUGUACCGGUAUUGGUGUCAAAAAAAAUUGCCGGCAUCGUUUGAAAAAAGCUGGUAUUGCCCAUCUCUAACUGUCACAAGUAGUGAUGACAGAAAACCAAAUGAAUAUAUCUGUAUCAGGUGGCAAUGUUUUUAUUGGUGAUCACAUGACAGUUAACCUUACUCCUACUGGUAUUUCCAGUGAAGUA